UACAUAUCAAUGGCUCAAGACUCCGGUUCAUCUGGUGGCCGCAUUAUUACCUUGGGUUAAACUAACAAGACGAGGGCAGCGUGGUGGUUCUGUAGAGGACAGUGUUUGUUGUCAAGACUGCAGGAACCCGUGUUUUCUCAGCGUCGGUGUGUCUGAGUGACGUUCUGGUGCUCUGACAGAAUAAACACAGCGUGUCAGUGCAGAAACACAACCCUGUUCACACAAACCUCUGUUCAGGAAUCAGUGUGAAGUGUUUUACAGUGCGUCUGUGUAUCUGAUCUCAG
Long non-coding RNA from Ictalurus punctatus (channel catfish), 284 nucleotides. NCBI's taxonomy places the organism in Eukaryota, Metazoa, Chordata, Actinopteri, Siluriformes, Ictaluridae. The record is from Ensembl.